Molecule: long non-coding RNA, 165 nt
Filed under: Mus musculus (house mouse)
Lineage: Eukaryota; Metazoa; Chordata; Mammalia; Rodentia; Muridae
Description: predicted gene, 47855
Source: RNAcentral
UAUACAAAAAGAAGAAAGAAAUCCAGACAAGUAUGUGGACAAAGAGAAACCUUUAUGAAACUGGAAAUAAAGUGGAAUGAAAUGGACAGGGACAGAGACAACCAAGUUGCUGAUGCGGUCAUCAUCAUAACCAAGCCCCACAGACCAGAGUUUACUCAACAACAA